AUUCCAUGAUGAGGGUAUUUUCGUAAUAAUUCUUUGUACCUUUUCCAUGCCUCAUACAAGGACUCGUCAUCAAUUUGUUGGAAAGCAGAGAUCUCAAUUCCUCAACUU
Molecule: non-coding RNA, 108 nt
Organism: Gossypium hirsutum (cotton)
Lineage: Eukaryota; Viridiplantae; Streptophyta; Magnoliopsida; Malvales; Malvaceae
Source: Rfam